GUAGUCUCGCACAGAUGCAUAUCAAUAAGCGGAGGAAAAGAAACUAACAAGGAUUCCCCUAGUAACGGCGAGUGAAGCGGGAAGAGCUCAAAUUUGAAAUCUUAAAGGGUUUCCCUUUACGAAUUGUAGUUUAAAGAAGUGGUUUUCUGUUGAGGUUUUGGUAAAAGUUCUUUGGAAUAGGACAUCAUAGAGGGUGAGAAUCCCGUAUUUGACCUUUACUUUCAACUUUGUGAUACACUUUCAAAGAGUCGGAUUGUUUGGGAAUGCAGUCCAAAAUGGGUGGUAAAUUUCAUCUAAGGCUAAAUAUUGGCGAGAGACCGAUAGCGAACAAGUACCGUGAGGGGAAGAUGAAAAGAACUUUGAAAAGAGAGUUAAACAGUACGUGAAAUUGUCAAAAGGGAAGCGUUUGACACCAGUGUUGUUUUUCUGAAAAUCAAUUAAAGAACUGUUUAUGCUAAGCUGUUUAGACUUUAUCAGCUAUCUGUUUAGUUUUGAGCUUUUCUUUAAUGCACUUUUCAGUUAACAAGUCAACAUCAAUUUCUUUUGCUGUAAAAAAGCUUGAGGAAGGUGGCUUGAGAUUCGUCUUAAGUGUUUAUAGCCUCUUGCCUAUGCAGUCGGAGAGAUUGAGGUCUGCAGCGUAGAUCCUUCGGGGCUAAAUGCAUUUGUGCUAAGUUAUAGCAUUUUAUAGACAACUUGUUGACUAUGAUUUGUCUUGUAGCUUACUCGCUUAUGUUAUUUUACCUACGCUUAGGAUGUUGAAGACUCUACAGAGAUA
This 775-nucleotide ribosomal RNA is filed under the name uncultured Neocallimastigales. Its description in RNAcentral is "partial large subunit ribosomal RNA". It matches the Rfam family "Eukaryotic large subunit ribosomal RNA", at positions 24 to 633 of the family's 3401-position model. Lineage: Eukaryota; Fungi; Neocallimastigomycota; Neocallimastigomycetes; Neocallimastigales. The record is from RNAcentral.